CWAAUGACUCUCGGCAAUGGAUAUCUCGGCUCUUGCAUCGAUGAAGAACGUAGUGAAAUGCGAUACUUGGUGUGAAUUGCAGAAUCUCGUGAACCAUUGAGUCUUUGAACGCAAGUUGUGCCCGAGGCCUUGUGGCCRAGGGCACGCCUGCUUGGGCGUCAUGA
RNAcentral lists this ribosomal RNA (164 nucleotides) under Roscoea humeana. RNAcentral's name for it is "5.8S ribosomal RNA". It matches the Rfam family "5.8S ribosomal RNA". Rfam says of the family: 5.8S ribosomal RNA (5.8S rRNA) is a component of the large subunit of the eukaryotic ribosome. It is transcribed by RNA polymerase I as part of the 45S precursor that also contains 18S and 28S rRNA. Functionally, it is thought that 5.8S rRNA may be involved in ribosome translocation. The record is from RNAcentral. Lineage: Eukaryota; Viridiplantae; Streptophyta; Magnoliopsida; Zingiberales; Zingiberaceae.